RNAcentral lists this ribosomal RNA (377 nucleotides) under uncultured eukaryote. RNAcentral describes it as "partial 18S ribosomal RNA". It matches the Rfam family "Eukaryotic small subunit ribosomal RNA", at positions 592 to 975 of the family's 1831-position model. The record is from RNAcentral.
CAAUAGCGUAUAUUAAAGUUGUUGCAGUUAAAAAGCUCGUAGUUGGAUUUGUGGUUCGUCCCGCCGGCUGGGUCAUUGACUUUUGCUGUGCUGGUCGUCCAUCCUUGGGUGGAAUCUGUGUGGCAUUAGGUUGUCGCGCAGGGGAUGCCCAUCGUUUACUGUGAAAAAAUUAGAGUGUUCAAAGCAGGCUUAUGCCGUUGAAUAUAUUAGCAUGGAAUAAUGAUAUAGGACCUUGGUACUAUUUUGUUGGUUUGCGCACUGAGGUAAUGAUUAAUAGGGACAGUUGGGGGUAUUCGUAUUCCAUUGUAAGAGGUGAAAUUCUUGGAUUUUUGGAAGACGAACUACUGCGAAAGCAUUUACCAAGGAUGUUUNUAUUA